GGAUGCGAUCAUACCAGCACUAAAGCACCGGAUCCCAUUAGAACUCCGAAGUUAAGCGUGCUUUGGCGAGAGUAGUACUAGGAUGGGUGACCUCCUGGGAAGUCCUCGUGUUGCAUUCC
RNAcentral lists this ribosomal RNA (119 nucleotides) under Triticum aestivum (bread wheat). The record is from RNAcentral. Lineage: Eukaryota; Viridiplantae; Streptophyta; Magnoliopsida; Poales; Poaceae.